This 208-nucleotide long non-coding RNA is filed under the name Manihot esculenta (cassava). RNAcentral describes it as "long non-coding RNA (MESC_LNC003887)". Lineage: Eukaryota; Viridiplantae; Streptophyta; Magnoliopsida; Malpighiales; Euphorbiaceae. The record is from RNAcentral.
UUUUAAAUUAUCUUUACCAAUUGCUUAGAAAUAAUAACUUUUAAAUUCUCUGGUAUAUCGACUGGAAAACCAUAAUCCUAUAACCUGACAAUUGCACUAUUGUCAUAGUAGAACCUUGGGUGACAACGCCACGUACCAGUGAAUAAAUUAAUAAGAUAAAAGGCAUAAUAGUCGACUGAACUAGUUGUUGCAUGCGCUAGCUUCCCCU